UAGCAGCGGUUCAAAAAGACAACUGCUAAAAGGUAAGAUUUUGGCGGUUGUGCAUCUGGAUGGUGGUGUGCAGCAAAAUUACUAGAAUUCGCGGUUAAACAAAACACAUUUAUCAAUUGAAAACCACCCUUAGUAUUUUCUCCAAGUGUUUUCUCUGAAUUGAAAGCCUACUGGCGCGACUCUCUUCUCUGAAUCCCUCUUGCACUGCAAGCUCAUCCGCCACAGCCUCAUUGCACCCUUGUUGAUCCUCUAUCACCCUUCAAUCCUCCCACUGCGAUCCGGCCCUAGUUCAUCUCUGCCUCUCCAUUCUCUUGCAGUCGGUGCCUCCUACCUCUUUGCCCUAUUGUGCAUUAUCUCACUUUGCAUAGUCAUGGUCUUCUGUGUAGUCACAGUCACAUCGCUCUCCACACAGUUUGCAGCUGCCAUCAUCCUCUGCGCAGUUCCUACCCGCUCAUGAAUGAUCAUAUGAAAUUGUUAAGAGGUUGCAAGAGAGGAAGCAUAUAUGUUGAAUGAUAGGUGAUGGUGUCAACGACGCCCCUGCAUUAAGGAGAGGAGAAAUUGGAAUUACUGUUGCUGAUGCUACAGACGCUGCUAGAAGUGCUUCUGAUAUUGUCUUCAGUAAACCUGGUCUUAGUGUCAUUAUUAGUGCAGUACUCACCAGCAGGGCAAUUUUCCAUAUGUAAUGAUUUAUGAAUGCGUGAUCGAAUGCCAUCUUCUAAAUGGUGGAAGUUUUAUGCCUUUUAAUCUAUAUUCCCUUAUAUUAGGAUGAUAUGAUAAU
Molecule: non-coding RNA, 778 nt
Organism: Arachis ipaensis
Lineage: Eukaryota; Viridiplantae; Streptophyta; Magnoliopsida; Fabales; Fabaceae
Source: RefSeq, a predicted model, not a curated record